RNAcentral lists this ribosomal RNA (468 nucleotides) under uncultured bacterium. RNAcentral describes it as "partial 16S ribosomal RNA". It matches the Rfam family "Bacterial small subunit ribosomal RNA", at positions 28 to 507 of the family's 1533-position model. The record is from RNAcentral.
GACGAACGCUGGCGGCGUGCUUAACACAUGCAAGUCGAACGGAAAGGCCCUGCUUUUGUGGGGUGCUCGAGUGGCGAACGGGUGAGUAACACGUGAGUAACCUGCCCUUGACUUUGGGAUAACUUCAGGAAACUGGGGCUAAUACCGGAUAGGAGCUCCUGCUGCAUGGUGGGGGUUGGAAAGUUUCGGCGGUUGGGGAUGGACUCGCGGCUUAUCAGCUUGUUGGUGGGGUAGUGGCUUACCAAGGCUUUGACGGGUAGCCGGCCUGAGAGGGUGACCGGCCUCAUUGGGACUGAGAUACGGCCCAGACUCCUACGGGAGGCAGCAGUGGGGAAUAUUGCACCAUGGGCGGAAGCCUAAUGCAGCAACGCCGCGUGCGGGAUGACGGCCUUCGGGUUGUAAACCGCUUUCGCCUGUGACGAAGCGUGAGUGACGGUAAUGGGUAAAGAAGCACCGGCUAACUACGUG